ACCUGGAAGAGAAACAACACUCUCUCCCUUCGUCGCUACCGUUGAGUUCAUUGAUGUGCUUGAAAUUGUUUCUUCAUGGAUUUUGUCUAGAGGAUAAAGUAGUUAUCAUUUUGAGCUUGAAAUUAUGGAUGUUGAAAUGCUUGGACUUCACUGUUUUGGAAACCUGACAGUCUAGGUUAAAAUGUUGAGCUUCUCGAUUUUGCAUUAUGUAAGUGGUUGUCAAAGAGGUGGCUAUUUCAAAAUUUUCAAGUAAUUGACCAAUGGCGUAUUGACACUUAGUUCUGUAC
Molecule: unclassified non-coding RNA, 287 nt
Filed under: Hevea brasiliensis (rubber tree)
Lineage: Eukaryota; Viridiplantae; Streptophyta; Magnoliopsida; Malpighiales; Euphorbiaceae
Source: RNAcentral